Molecule: long non-coding RNA, 976 nt
Filed under: Homo sapiens (human)
Lineage: Eukaryota; Metazoa; Chordata; Mammalia; Primates; Hominidae
Description: HSALNT0271899
Source: RNAcentral
ACCCGCCUUGGCCUCCCUAAGUGCUGGGAUUACAGGCAUGAGUGCCUGGUCCUAAUGUACACAUUUUGAUAAUUUUGUUUGUUUGUUUUUUGUUUGAGACAGGAUCUUGCUCUGUCCCCCAGGCUAGAGUACAGUGGCAUGAUCAUGACUUAUUGCACCGUUGACCUUCCUGGCUCAAGCGAUCCUCCCGCUUCAGCCUCCUGCGUAGCUUGGAGUAGCUGGGCCAUAGGCUGGCAUGAAGUGGCUCAAUCUCAGCUCACUGCAACCUCCACCUCAAGGAUUGAAGCGAUUCUCAUGCCUCAGACUCCCCAGUAGCUGGGGUUACAGGUCAAAAACUACUACCGCAAUGAGUGGGAAGUCAGAUGAUUAAUGUCUGCUGUUUACACAGAAACUUGCAGAGAUUUACAGCAAGAGCAUAAGUAUAUCAAGAUGACAAUAACAACAAUGUUUAACAUCUAGAAGCCACUUCCAACAAAACCAUGUGGAAGGCGGGAGCAAAUUGCAUAGAUGUGGACAAUGAGAUUUGGAGAGUUUACGUAACUUGCUAAAGGUCAUGCACCCGGAAAACUUGACAAAAGGACUGUAUAGUUAAUAACAAUGCUGCCUCAGAAUCAGUUUCCUUCCAUGUUAAUUUAUUAUUUUUCCUUCAUUUUCACACCUAGCAACGGCAGGUGGCGUCCUUGUGGUGGUGCACCUCUCUAACACUUCUUUCAUCUCCACAUUUUUCAUUAACCACAGCAAGGAAUGAUUCUGUGUUUCGUCAUUCAUGUGAUUAAAUUGUAGCCACCUGGAUAACCUAGGAUCUCUCUUCAUCUCAAGAUGCUUAAAAACAAGCAUGACCUGGGACAUGAAAUUCUUUGCAUUGUUAUAGAAAUGACAAUUCUGCUUAAUCAAAAAUACAAUAAAAAUAUUUUUAAAAUUGUCUUGUAUUUCUCCAUGAUUUUUAAAUUUUGACUAGAAAUACUUUAUUGUACAG